This 3571-nucleotide long non-coding RNA is filed under the name Xyrichtys novacula (pearly razorfish). Lineage: Eukaryota; Metazoa; Chordata; Actinopteri; Labriformes; Labridae. The record is from RNAcentral.
GCACUUAUAGCCAAUCAGAGGCGAAGGAGAGCGGCACCUUCCCUUACCAACCUACAGCGUCCCGGGUUGAAGCGAGAAGACAAAAAUGGAGUCUACUUCAACUUCAAGUGAUGGCUAAUUGGUACUCGUUUUGCUUUCUCAAAUGAAAAAGAAAUGUAGCACAUGAGUGCAUCUAAUAUUACAAAAAAGAAGAGAACUUGGUGAGUUUCACUGCUUGGUUCAGGAGAUGAAACUGUAGCACAGUCGCUGACUGUUUUCAGUUCUGAUUUGACACUAGUGUUGAGGUGGCUUUCUGUCAUGAUCGCAUGUACUGAGUCGGGGCCAGUACCAGAUAAGCACAUGAAACUAUGGUAACAACCGUUAGCUUACGUUACCACAGAUGAAAGUUAAAACAAAAACGUUUAGCAAACUGUUAAAGCACACAAACCAUCGUCAUAUGAGAAAUCCAACGCUGUGACUCUCCACAAGUUGUCUUCAGGUUGUUAUCUUUGUAAUGUUUGUGUCUUUUAUCAAAAAGCACUCUGUUCUCCGACAUGUAAACAAUCAGCCGGUCGGCCAUGUUGGAUAUACCGGUGAAUCUGACGUCGCAACAACACUUUCGCAUUCAACAAGUCAUCUAAAUAAUGACACGUUGAGCUUUCCAUACUUUCUGACAGAGAGGUGGAGUCUUGUGCCCGCGGGCUGACACAAACCAAUCCACACAUGAUCACGAGCUGUGAUUGACAUAGACAACCUGUGUGCUACCUUUUAGCAGAGACUACCUGGAGCUGGUAAAACGUAACUGCAGAAACAGAAACACAGAGUAAGCUGUUGUACCAACCAGUCUGUGAUUUGCGGUCCUGUUGCUGCAGUGAAGCGAUCACUGCAGUGCUGGAAUGAGAGGUGAGGACAUACAGGGUUGAAAUGUGAAGGUAGUGUGGGGAAAACUGUGGCCUAGUGACACAAAUGAUCACCUUUUGAUUUUAACGUUAUGGAUUAGCUUAGAAUUCAGACUCAGACUGCAACUUAACAUGACUAUUUUAGUUUUGUUUGCUUUUUGAUUCGUUAGAGUCCAUAUAAGUAUAGUCGUAGAGGCCAUAUAGUCUUGCAAUUCUGGUGUGGUAACUUUGGGUUUGAGUGAAAAACAAAAAACAAGUUUUCCAGAAAAAUGUAUUAAGAACAGGUGUAAUCUAUGAAAUAACAUAUUAUUUAAACAAAAUCAUCAUUAUUGGGGUUGAAACAUACCUUUGUCACACAAACACAGCUUUCCAAAAGUAGCUGGAUUUGCCUCACGACUUAACCUGGUGCACAGCCAUAUUGGAAGUAAGGUCACUGGUACACCAGUAGAGGCACAGUCACAUGACUGCACCAGGAUGUAAAGUAGAUGUCACUUAGGGACUUUAUGUGUAAAAAAUACAGAUUUAAGCAAUUUGAAGACCUGCCCUUGAUGUUUGAAAGGGGUCCUUAUGGGUAAAUUUAUACUAAAAUGUUCCCAAAAAUUAAAAACGCAACUUACUGUGUUUCCCCCCAUUUUAUAAUGAUAAAACACUAUAGUUCUACUUAAAUCUCAUUGUGUUUUGAGUUGGAAUAACCUCUUUUGAAUUGGGCUUUCAUACCGAGAAUUAAGUUUUUCUGAAUUGCACAGAGAUUUUGGGAAAGUCCUUGAUCCUGCGGCUAAAAGCUAUGCCAUCAUGAUCCUAAAUGAUAGUGAGUCUGCAUCAAAAGUGGCUCCUCUGAGGUUUAUCAUAAGCUUUACUGUUGGAUCCUUAUAAAUAUUUCAUUAUUCAUUGCACAGAGUCGAAGCUUUUAAAGAUCACAGAUACAUCAAACAUCCGGAGAUACAGCAAAGCAGCCUCAAGGUUUAACAUCCCUUUACAAUACUGUGAUUCGAUCAUUUUUGUUUUUAGCAUUACAACACUUAUUUGUUUUUUUGCAGGUUAUAAAAACAAAGAGUGAGUGAGCUGAAUGCUGAGGACGUGCUGAGAGGAACAGUUGGUGGAAUCAUGAUUCAUCCAUUCUGCUGGGGCUCCUCCUUAUACGUCAGUGCUGGACCAACCAUCUGUCUGCACCGCCUGCCACGCUGGGGGCCCUUUCAUAUUUUGAAAACAUGACACAGCACUCCACAUGUCAACGAUAGAAAAAUUCACUACAUUGGAAUUUACUGAGGAGCGAUGUAACACCCUCUGUUGAAAAGUGAUUGACAGGCAGAAGUGUAAAACAAGUAGAGCCAGAGUUUUCGAGCUAUUGUUUGACUGACAAAUGUUAAAAAUAGCACUACCACACAGCCUGGUACAAAUCCACUUGGUACUAGAAUGUUAGCUGUUGUAAUGUCUUAUUUGGCCAUUACCACUUAUUGGCCAGUGGUUUUUGCCAAUGCUAAUGUUGGACCAUGCUAUGAUUCAACCUACUCCUAAAUAAUACAAAGGUGUGAACCAGUGGAGGCAGGUGGGAAAUAUUUUUUGUGGGGCUGAGGUAAACACAUUUCUCUGCCUUGUCCAUCAUAAGAAUUCAAAUCAACAGUCAGGCGACCUCAAUUCAGCAAUAAUGAUUUAAUCUCCUUUAAAUUUGCCAGUUUCAUAAAUCAAGUCAAGAACAAUUUUCAGUUGUAUACACUUCCAUUCAUGCUCUAGAAAUGAAGGAUAAUAUAGUUUUCUAGUUCCUGAGAGACCUUACAGCAAGAUUUUCAGAAAAGUGCAUUUACUGUUCCACAUCCUGUCAGCCAUGACUUGCGCUUGAACCAACUCCUGCAAAAACUCCUGUUGUAGGAUUAAUUCUUCUCCUUGGGCUUGUCCGGUCCAAGCACUUUAAUCCAGAUUUUCUCCUCCUUUGUACGUCUAGCAAACGGAUAGACCAAUAAUGAUUGCACUGAAUUUGGUGGAAGCUGCUCCUCGCUCAUUAAGUUUGCCAUCACCGUAACAACUGCGCUAGCUUAAUUGGGUGCACGCACAGGCUCUCUCCCUCCUUUGCCCACCUCUAAAAAUCUCACGACACUUUUGGCCUCAUGGGCGAUAUUUUCAGCACCUCAAGACCAUAAAUUUCUGCUGUGCUGAUUGGUCAUAUAUUUAUUAAUUUUACCUGGCAACUGUACACAAUUGGUUAUUUCGUCGCAGUGUUGGGGCGAUCUGACAGAGCGCCCCGUGAAAGAAUCAAUACGAGUCUGCCAGUGGAAAUUCCAUAUUAAAUGAAUGAUAGCAGAUGGGAAAUGUAGUUUAAAUGAUUAGUAUUGCAAGUGGCCCCACAAUAGUUGGUAAAAACAUCUUUAUUGUAAAAAUAUAUUUUUAGAUACAUUUUUCAGGAAGGGCGGCCACCACUGGUGUGAACUAUUCGGCUACACCUUUUUGUAAAGUAACAUGUUACACCACUUAUAUUAAUAGUAGCUUUUAGCCACUUUCUGUCAGAUGUUUAUAAUGUAAUUGGCAAGUGUCUGAUGCCAAAGUAGCUGCUGUCUGACAAUGCUGGCUUUAAAACUCAAACAUUUCCUUGGCAACUGUGCCUUAACUAACAUCGUGACUAACUGAAUAAUGUUCUGUUCACAAUAUGGAGAGUCUGAAUGAUGGAAAACAUUUGAAUAAAAUGAUUAACAUAACAAUAA